AUAUUGACUGUGAUGUACAAUAGGCCUCUUGAAUUUAUUCCUCCUAACUGAAAUUUUGUACCCUUUGACCAUCAUCUUCCCAGUCACACCCCCACGCCUCUGGUAACCAUCAUUCUACUCUCUAGUUGUAUGAGGUCAACUUUUUGAGAUUCCAUAUAUAAGUGAAAUAAUUAAUAUAUUUAUCCUCCUUCCAGAUAAUUCAAGGAUCUUAGCAUUUUGACUCUAGUCAACUCUAAUCUUACAAUCCAUUGUAUUGCAGUAUUUUAAUUCUCUUCUAUUAAGCCUUACAAACUGGAUGUUAACAUUAUUGUGGUUAUUGUUUCAGAGAGUCAAUAUUGACACAGGUUUACCUGAAUAUUACCCACGAUUACCAUCAUUCCUUCUUUCUACUUAGAUCUCCAUCAUCCUUCUUGAAAUAUAAUUUUUAGAAGAUCGAUUGAUGAAUUUUUGUCAAUGGAAAAUACACUUUUACUUUCUCUGAAAAUAUUUUGUCCACAUCAGUUAUUUUCUUGUUCAGUAUUAAGAAAACCUAAUUUUUAUGUUUUCUCCCUGUCAUUGUUGAUAUUGUUUGCCAUCAGGCUGUCAUUACUUUUUAGGUAUUCUAAACUGUUACUUCUUUAAGUACAUCAUUGUCUCCCCUUAAUCUGUUCUCUUCAUAAUGUUUUAUUUAUUUGUUUCACUAUGAUGAAUUCUGGACAGUUUCUUCUGAUCUUUCUAUUUAGCUGUAUCUAAUCUAGCUGUAUCUAAUUAAGUCAUCUGUCAAGUACAUUUUCUUAGUAUUUUAUUUUAAUAAUUUUAUUUACUAUUUCUAGAUUUUUUAUCUAUAUUCAUCCUGUGAUAAUAUCUUCUUCUUUAUAUAUAUUUUAUUUAUGUAUCUGAUAACAUUAAUGACUUAAACCUUUGUAAGUCUAAGUAUAUUUUUAGUUUUUGUGCUGAUUUCAUUCAAAGGAACUUAUUUUUACAUGUAUUGUUUGUGUUCAUGCAGGUGUGUAUGUUUAUCAUCACUCUAUGCUCAUCUGUACUAUAUCUCUGGGAAUUCUUCAUAUCCUAUAUCGAAAAUGCACUCCUUCAAAGAAAGAUUGCAUUUGCUUUUGCCAAGCCCCUGGAAACCCUACUAACUAAAACUAAAGCUUUACUAAAACAAGCUUAGACCUUCCAUCCACAUACCAAUUGUGUGAAUGCAAAUCACAAAUCUACAUUAUUUUUAUGAAUUCUAAACUUUUAUGAAGCAGAGAAUUUUUUUAUUCUUCUUCACCCAAAGCCAAGGACAAAACAGGCAAGUUUUCUUUCACUUUCCCUAUGCUGGUUGGAUUUUCUUUUUCUAGUUCACUUGUUCCUUAGGGUUAUAGCUUUUCAGGUCUUCCCUUGUUGCUUAGACUGAAGACUGUGCCUCUCGUCCCUCCACGUGGCUGUUGAAAUGCAAAGCUCUAGGUUACAGCAAUUACAGCAGUUACCCUUAGAGCAGUCACUGUCUUCAAUUUCUGUUCAUUAUGCCAGAUUUGCACUCCAGUCUUUUUUUUUUUUUUUUGAGCUCUAUGGAUUUCUCCUACUUAACUGUUAGCUUACUUAAUAAAAACAGAUUUAAGAAACAUUUUGAAUGUUUACGUACUAGCUUUUCUUGGUAUUCUGUAAUGUGAGUGCUUGUAUCAAUGGCAAAUUUUCAAAUAAUUUGUAAAUUAAGUGGUUACUAUGGUUAAUUUAGAAAUGCAGAAAAAUAGGAGAAUAAAAAAUUGUAGGAAUUUUGUAAACUAGAGAUAGCAUAACCAUUAUAAAAAUGUUGGAAUUUAAGAUUUUUUUUCAUAUAUGUUUUUACAUAAAUGAGAUUACACUACAUAUAUCCAUUUAAGCAUAAUUAAGAUAUUCUCAAGUAAGAAACUGAAUGAUUAUAUUGAGAGGUUGGCAGCAAAUAAUAUCAAAACUUUCCAAAUGAUAACCUCAAUCUUCAUAUCAUUAAAUACAAAUUUUUCAAUAUAGUAUUAAUUCAUCAUAUAUAUUUUUAACAAUAAAACUUUCCCUUCUGCAGUCCUCUACUUGUGGAAACACCAGUUUGUGUAGGGGACACAUGUUUUCAUUUCUCUUGGGUAUAUACCUAGGAAUGGAAUUGCUGUAUCAUAGGGUAAACCGAGUCUUAACUUUUUAAGGAACAGCCAAAUGGUUUCCAAAAGUCUGUACCAUUUAUGGUCCCAUCAGUAAGACGAGGAGAGUAGGACACAGAGACAGACAGAGGCCACAUGAAGACACUUUGACAACACAUGUUAUCAUCUAUCUUUUUAAAUUUUAGCCAUUCUACCGAGCAUAAAGUAGUGUCUCAUUGUAGUUUGGAUUUGCAUUUCUUUAAUGAAAAAUGAUGUUGAACAUGUUUUUAUGUGCUUAUUGUCUAUUUGUAUAUCUUUCCUGAAUUAUGUCUAUUCAGACUCUUUGCCCAUUUUUAUUGGGCUGUUUUUAUUUUUGAGCUGUGUUUUUAAUAUAUUCUGGAUACAAGUUCAUAUGAAGCACAUGAUUUGCAAAUUACUUUUCUCCUAUUCUGUGGGUUGUCUUUUCACUUUCUUGAUGGUGUUCUUUGAAGCACAGAAGUUUUAAUUUUGAUGAUGCUAAUUUACCUAUUUUUUUCUCACUUAUACUUUUGGUGUCUUAUCUAAGAAACUGUCACCUAAUCCAAGAUCAUGAAGAAUUACUCCUACGUUUUCUUUUAAGAGUUUUGUAGUUUUAGUUUUACAUUUAGGUCUACAAUCCAGUUUGAAUUAAUUGUAUACAUGAUGUGACAGAGAGUUCUAGCUUCAUCUCUUGCAUGUAGCUACCCAGUUGUCCUAGCAUCAUUUGUUGAAAAGACUAUUCUUUCCCCUAUUCAUUUGUCUUGGCAUUUUUAUAAAAAAUAAAUUGCAUAUCUAUGUAUUUUAAAUUCAGUUAUACAUACUGUCACUAGCCCUGCCAGGCAUCAUAUGUACUUACAAGCUGACAACUAGCACAGAAAUGAUUAUUAUCACUGGCCAUGGCAAAGAAUAAUGACCUGUUAUUUCCAAAGAUUCUGUGAAGAUGACUGUGCACCUGAGAAUUUGUUUGGUUUAUACAGACUAAGAUUCCGUCUGCUUUGUUCACUAUUGAGUUAGUAGCUAAACGGUUGUAAAAUUUCUCAAGUCUCUCAGAGCUCACACUUGCAGGAAGCUUGAUUUCACAACUUGUACAUGACAGUCUCACAUAAAAGUAGUCUCGUGAGAGUGUUACUAUGGACAGAAAAAUGACUAUACCUCUUUUAUGACUGCUGUUGUUAUUUGGGCUGCUUUUUUCUUGAUGUUGUUCCAAAAGCUUCCAUUUUGCAAUAAGCAGCAACACCUUAAGAUAGAUCUUAAACAGAACCAUGGUUAGGGCUUUUUUUCCUCCCCUUUAGUCACAGUGAUUUUCCAUUUGCCCUGGAAGGCAUUCAGCAUUACUUGUAAACAGCAAAGAUAAAUGUGGCUUCUGAUAAAAUAAAGAUAAAUAUUCAUCUUUAUGAAUAGUCCAUAUGUUUAUAAAUAGGAAUAGAAUGAAAGCACUGUCCCAAACUUUCCUUUCAAUUCAAAACAUCCAAAUGUAUUUUAAAUAUUCCACCCCAAUUAAUCUCACUUUUAAAUAAAACAUUGCAUGUCUAAGGUGGGAAAACAAGACCCUUCAGCAAUGCCACACAACUGCAUUUUUUUUUAAGUGGAUGGUCACUUUUAACUGAUACAGAGGAAAUUUAGGAGAGAAGAAAAGUAAUCAACUUUUCUAUAUCUGGAGUCCUUUAACCAAUAAACAGACAAACCAACAUAAAGUACACAUGGUAAGCUCAGCAUACAUAACUGAAUUUCUCUUUUUCAGCUUUUUCCCAUUUUUGCACCUCAGCCUGUCCAAUUGUGCAAAGAAAGGGAGGAUGAUUAAAUAUGCAACUGAGUAGUCAGGGCCUGUAGCUGCUGGGAGUUCCCCAAAGCUCUACGUCCCUCCCUCACCAGAACUUGUUUGCUCUCUCCAGCAAGUACCAUGUGCUAGGAUGCCCAAAUUCACCACUGUAAGCCCAAGACUGUGAGGUUCCUAGACAGCAGGAUUUUGCUCUAAAGAUCAUCCACAGAUCCACUCUUUAAUUUAACCCCAUCUUGGCAGGCAUAAGGAAUAGCACAAUGAAAAAAUGUAGCUCCUGCCCCCAAUAACUGUGUAAGAUUAGGAAACCAGCACUCAGAAGGUAUUUGAGCAUAAAGUUAAGUACUUAGUAAAAGUUUGUGGAUAAGGAAGGAAAGAAAGAGAAAAGGUGUGCAGGAGGGAGGAAGGAUGAAUUUGGAUUUCAUAUCUCAUACCAGAGAAAGAUGAAAGCAGCAUAUUGAGACAUAGAAGUGGUGUAAAAGACAAGAAGAGAUGAAUUAAAGAAGGCAUAGGAACCAGAAGUGGAAAAUUAUGGUAUAAUACUUCCGUGUCUUUGGAGACAAAUUGGAUUUGAAUCUUAGAUUUGCCAUUUACUAGCAGUGGUUUUGGACAAUUUACUUAAUUAUGUUUGAUCUUCAACCACUCUGUAAUGUGUAAGGAGUAACAAUAUCUACGUCAUUGGAAUUAUCAGAAGGAUUUAAUAAGUGUUAUCAAUUUAGUACAAUACCCAGCCCAUAGGAAGGACUCAGGAAAUAUUAGCCAUCAAUAGAAGAUGCUAUUUAUAUUUGGGUUUUCUUUAAUCCUGAGAUUCGACAUGGCACACAAAUGUAAACAUUUUCAAAUCAGUUCCAUGUGGUAGACCUCUAGAUUUUUUAUUUUUACCCUUGAAAUAGGUUUAAGACAAUGCCAUCAUGGAAAGCCUCUGUAGAAGAAACUAUUUAUUGUACCCAUUGCCUUUCUAAAAUCUGUCAAAUCUCUAAAGCUUCUCCCUUUUUGGAAGCUUAAACAGAAACUGAACCAUCAUAAAAUUCUUGAAGUUUGCCUUGAAUCUACUUUGGAGCUGCGUGAAUUGAGGCCUUUUGAUAACUGACCUUUGUUCUUCCAAAUAGGCCUGAUCCUGUGUAAAACGUAUACACCGCCCACCUGCCACCACCCCUGUGGCAGCAAUGUUUGAGGGCCUAAAUGUUUCUGUGGGGAGUUAUGACAGAAGUCAGCCAAAUGUAGGUAAUGAUGUUAGGCAGCACGGAAGGUUGGAGCACGGGAAGAGGCAGCGGGGAGCUUUAGGCAAGGAACCCUUGUAUCCAGCUGUGCCCAAUUGGCCUUCCCUGAGGACUUGAUAGGCACCCUGUUGUCACUUGUUACUCAGUAAUUGAGGUAACAGUCAAGGGAAAAAAACCUUUAUUUUUCACAAUGCCAUCUUUCAGCAAUGCAGCUUCAUGAGUGAAGACGGUGAUGUUCCAGUAGUUCAUCUAAACUCUUUAAAAUCCUACCAAAUACCUUACAGGUGGUGGGUGUGUAGUGGAAGUGGUUAGGAGCAGGAUAGGUACUAAGAUCUGUCUGAGAUGUGAAACUUCAUGAGUAAGAUUUGGUGUCUUCACCACAAUCAUUCAUAAUAACCAGAACUUUAGAUUCCUAACUGCAAUUAUUAAAGAUUGUAAAGGUUAUAUUAUACUGAGAUAUUCCUUUCGCCAAUAAACCUUUAAUGUUAUCCCAGAAUUAAAAUACCCUUUUGCAAAAUAAAAUGUUUAUCAAGUCUGCCAAAAAGAGGAGCCAAUUAUUUGGGUUUCUCUCUAGGAUUUUAAUAAAUUCCUUUGAUAGUCAAAGCAGUUAAGCAGGCUCACAUGGAACAAAAUAAAAGCACGAAAGCAGUCAAUCUCAUUUCCAAAGUGAACAAACAUAAACAUCGUUAUCAUUUCAAAUUUUUCACUUUUACAUUUUGCAGAUAAGAAUAACUUUUCUUACGUUUCUUACAGGUUCCUUAUUUCCUCAUUAAUUGAAAAACCAUAUUUAGAUACAUUUAUCACUAAUGAAUAUUUUUCAUAGUUUAAUCACAUUGAUUUGUUGAGCAUUAUCAGAAUAUAUAAUUCUUUAGAUAAGGAAUUGUGAACAGUCUCAUGGAUUAAUAUUUUCAGAACAUCAGUGUUUUAGCAAAUAAGAUGUUAUUGACAGCACAUUGUUAGCCUCACUACAUCUCAGUGCAGUUCUCACUUAAAUAAAUAUUUUAUAUAGUUCCUCAGUAGUGUUGACUGAGAAGAUGUUUUGCUUUAGAACUUAAAAACUGAGGAGAUGGAAUAGUUGCAAUUAGUGUUUGUGGUACAUUAAUUCCGGCAUCCUCUUCUGAUCAAAAUACAUAAUUGGCAAAUUUAUACACAUCAACACAAAGCCACAGAACAUUCCAAGGAUGCAAAGAAUUGUGGAUUCAAAGGAUAUAUCAUGCUUCCUUAGCCACCAAUGUAUUUUCAGUAGAAUGAAAAGUCUUACGGUACAUCACAACAUACUGGUCAACCUUUAGGACUUUCUCAAUUGCAAAGGGAGCUGGGUUACUCCUGCUAAUACCUACCUAUGCCCUCUCAGCAUGUGCCAUGAGAGGGCAGCACUGAGAGCGUCUCCAGCCCAGAAAGCGGUGGGCACUGUUAAGUAUGGGUUAACACCUAUGUUUUUAUGUGGAAGCAUUCAAGUCAGGCUGUGGUGAUAUAUGUUCUCAGAGUCUACUGUAGUAUCAUUUUAGUGCUUUUAUUACAAGUCAUCAAACACUGUAUCUGAAAAACAUGAGGAUAAAUUAUGGUACAUUCAAAAACUGCUGAUAAAUAACAAAGAAGAGAACAGGGUACUUUGGGAAUAUAAGGCCUUUUGAGUGAGAAAUGUUUUGUGCUAGCUAUGAGUGAGUUUUCUACAUGCAGAGAAAUUCCAUUACAUUGGUCCUCGGAACUGGUUAACAUUUUCUUGGUUCUUUGCUUAGUGUAGCAAAUAAAAAUCUAUUUAUUCUUUCUGGGAGUUCCCAAAAUAUCUUUAUUGAUUUGAAUUUUGCUUUUUCACUUUAUUAUAUAGUUGAUUUUAAGUUUCUCUUGGGUGUACUCAUGAGGUAGCCACAUAAAAUGGAACAACUUAUUUGUAAUAACAAAUAUUAUACAUGAGUUUUUUUUGACUGGCCCAGUUGCAAAGUAAAUCACUCUCCUCCUAAUUCUUUUUCAUAUUUUUUCUCUGGAUCAGAAAACGUUACUUUCUCAUACCCAGAGAAGUGUUAUAAAAUGAUACAUUGAGAUCAUCUGAUUCCCUCUUUAUUGUGAUUGUCUCUAAAAAAAAAAAAAAAAAAAAAAAAAGCAAAAAGCGGCCAUGAACUUAUAAAGAAUGUUUUAAA
This is a long non-coding RNA of Sapajus apella (tufted capuchin), 7228 nucleotides long. RefSeq lists it as uncharacterized. The record is from RefSeq and is a predicted model, not a curated record. NCBI's taxonomy places the organism in Eukaryota, Metazoa, Chordata, Mammalia, Primates, Cebidae. The transcript is spliced from 2 exons.